Non-coding RNA from Trichonephila clavipes, 72 nucleotides. NCBI's taxonomy places the organism in Eukaryota, Metazoa, Arthropoda, Arachnida, Araneae, Nephilidae. The record is from the annotation of a GenBank genome assembly.
AUCCCUGUAGUGCAAUGGAAGCGCAUUGGACUUUUAAUCCAAAGGUCGUGGGUUCUAAUCCCACUUGGGAGG